GAUGAAGAACGUAGCGAAAUGCGAUAAGUAAUGUGAAUUGCAGAAUUCAGUGAAUCAUCGAAUCUUUGAACGCACAUUGCGCCCCCUGGUAUUCCGGGGGGCAUGCCUGUUCGAGCGUCAUUUCAACCCUCAAGCUCUGCUUGGUAUUGAGUCAAUGUCAGCAAUGGCAGGCUCCAAAAUCAGUGGCGGCGCCGCUGGGUCCUGAACGUAGUAAUAUCUCUCGUUACAGGUGCUCGGCGUGCUUCUGCCAAAACCCCAAUUUUUCUAUGGUUGACCUCGGAUCAGGUAGGGAUACCCGCUGAACUUAAGCAUAUCAAUAAGCGGAGGA
This 328-nucleotide unclassified non-coding RNA is filed under the name soil metagenome. RNAcentral describes it as "partial contains 5.8S ribosomal RNA, internal transcribed spacer 2, and large subunit ribosomal RNA". The stretch from base 1 to 120 matches the Rfam family "5.8S ribosomal RNA", at positions 35 to 154 of the family's 154-position model. The record is from RNAcentral.